Long non-coding RNA from Paramormyrops kingsleyae, 1029 nucleotides. RefSeq lists it as uncharacterized. The record is from RefSeq and is a predicted model, not a curated record. NCBI's taxonomy places the organism in Eukaryota, Metazoa, Chordata, Actinopteri, Osteoglossiformes, Mormyridae.
ACCAUGGUUACGUGCCAGCGCUGACCCGGUGCCGGGCAGAGGCACCGAGGAGCGACGGCCGCAGAAAGCAGCUGCCCAAGCGCAGUCUUCUCCCUUUGAUCCUGCAGGGGUUCACCCAUAAAUGCAGCCAUUGGCUACCGGAUGGGCGGUUUUGCAGCCAGCGGGUCUGUGACUUCCUGUUAGGAACAGGAAGUCUGAAGUGGAAUGUAGUGAAGCAGCUGCUCUUCAUGUGUGCAGAGAGGGUGGAAUUCCUUUGCCUUACGUACUGAGAGAGAAUGAAGACAACAGCAAAUCACUGAUGACAUAAGAUCCAUGGAACAAGCAGCAAAGCACGGGGCCUUGAAGGCAGCCAGUCCGUGGCAGUGGAACAGAAACCGGACUCAUCAAUCUUUAUUAGGUUAGCUGUACCACAGCUUAGUAACGAUGCAGCCACAGGCCAAAUUCUUGGCCCGACCUUUUCCUGCUCUCUCCAUGUGACCUUCACUGCCGGACCAAGGGACGUCUGUCUGGAAGAAGCAGAGCCAUGAGAUGAGGACACGUGGCCUCGGGACGGCCGCGCUCUGAACGCGAAGCGGUGUCUGAGUCUUAUCAAACGUGGGCCUGACCGUAAUCCCGUCUGACCGAUUUACAGAACAGACGAGUAUUAAGAAUGAUCUUUGGGGUGAGAUUUAUGACUGCAUAGAGAUUCGCCCACAGUGUGCUUAAUAUCUGCAGCUCAAAUGAGAUCCAGAUGGAAAAUGGCCAUAAGUUUAUUAUAGUGUCAUAUCUGGAAAUUUCUCUGGGGGGGGGGCAAAUUUCAAACAUUAGUUCAGAUAGCCAGGCCAUCCGCAGAUGUGUGUCAAAACUACUGGAUGAAGUUUGAAGAAAAAAUUUUGUUGUCCUCAAAAUUGUUUUAAUUUGGAGGGUCCUGCUGAAUCAUUGUUGAUCCAAAGACUAAAUUACUAGUCAAACUAUACUACACAAGUGCUGCCAACUCAGAAAAACAGCCUAGCGUGAGCUUUUUAGAUUGGGGGGGUGUCAUUACAAAUU